UCCUUCGUAACUCGUCAUCAGUCUUCACUCUACUGGUUAGAGCGUCCGCCUUGGAUGCGGGAGGUCGCGGGUUCGAUCCCCGGUCGAGUCAU
This is a non-coding RNA of Potamilus streckersoni, 92 nucleotides long. The record is from the annotation of a GenBank genome assembly. NCBI's taxonomy places the organism in Eukaryota, Metazoa, Mollusca, Bivalvia, Unionida, Unionidae.